Molecule: ribosomal RNA, 406 nt
Filed under: uncultured bacterium
Lineage: Bacteria
Description: partial 16S ribosomal RNA
Rfam family: Bacterial small subunit ribosomal RNA
Source: RNAcentral
AUUGAACGCUGGCGGCAGGCCUAACACAUGCAAGUCGAACGAGUGGCGGACGGGUGCGUAAUGUCUGGGAAACUGCCUGAUGGAGGGGGAUAACUACUGGAAACGGUAGCUAAUACCGCAUACAAUCCGAUCUGCCCAGAUGGGAUUCGCUAGUAGCUGGGGUAACGGCGCACCUAGGCGACGAUCCUUAGCGGGUCUGAGAGGAUGACCAGCCACACUGGAACUGCGACACGGUCCAGACUCCUACGGGAGGCAGCAGUGGGGAAUAUUGCACAAUGGGCGCAAGCCUGAUGCAGCCAUGCCGCGUGUGUGAAGAAGGCCUUCGGGUUGUAAAGUACUUUCAGCGGGGAGGCGUUACCCGCAGAAGAAGCACCGGCUAACUCCGUGCCAGCAGCCGCGGUAAUUC